This is a long non-coding RNA of Ictalurus punctatus (channel catfish), 1238 nucleotides long. Lineage: Eukaryota; Metazoa; Chordata; Actinopteri; Siluriformes; Ictaluridae. The record is from Ensembl.
GUGUGUGUGUGUGUGUGUUCGGUGGGGAAAACAGCGAUCCAGAGGGACGACUCUUUUUCACCCUCAUCUGUAAUGAGUUGCUUCAUUUUACAGGUGAAAAAUGCUGAAAAUAGCACACUUUUUUUGUUUUUUGUUUUUAAAAAAAAAAAGAUGUCAUUCUAAGCGCUAGCUGAAAAUCAGACAGGUCCCAGAUGAGUUUGUGUUUUUGACAUUAAAGCUUCUUUCAACAUGGUUAGCUUCUGGCUGGCUGGCCAGUUCCGGUGUGUGUUUCACCCCAUGGUGGCUCUUUGACCCUGUAAAACAGAUAAUUAGCUGAAGAAUGAGAUGCCUGGAUUACCUCGAACGUCACUGGAAAUUGAUAUUUUAUUUUCUCACAAGAAUGCAAGACUUUCUUCACAGAAAAAAGAAAAAUGUUCGAGGCGUAGUCGCCCGUGUGUACACUGUUAGGGGGAAACGGUUACAUAUAGAAUGCUACCUUCUGGUCCUACCGGGAAGUGGAACGGCGUGAGAAAAAAAGUUACUAUUUUGUAUCAAGAAGAUCUUUUUGCCUUCCUGAAAGAAAAAUAAAGAACUGAAUGGAAAACCCAUUGCUGUAGACGUUUCAUUCAUGCUAGGGGCCACCAUGACUUUUUGUUAUUCACACACACACACACACACACACACACACACACACACACACACACAACUCGGAAAGUCGGGGCUCAAAGAAAAAUACGAGUGCUUGAGUGGUAGCUAACUACAACAUUGCGGAGGCAUUCAUGUGCGUUCGGCUCGUAAUUAAGAUAUUUCCGACAGGACUUGAAGGCAGCAUAACUACGCUAAAGAGUCAUUUGGUUUGUCCCUCUGGAGACCGUUGUAAACCUCUACCCUCUGUUUCAGAGAACCCCUUCAGGACAUGAAGAACCCUUCAUCCCUGAGAAACUCUUUCUUUUUUUUUUUCUCUUCUCUUAAGGGUCUUUAGAAAAAGAAGGAAAAGAAGUCAUGCUCCUCCCAGGUUCAGGCCGAGGGGCUGCACUAACACGAGCAGCUACACAACACCACAAUUAGCGGCAGUCGCUGGGCUUUGUCUGUGCUGAGCUGCUCGACAGGACACAUAAUGGAGAGAGAGAGAGCGAGAGCGAGAGAGAUGCUUUUUCAGCACAGAAACAAUGAAGCCUCGAGCUGAAAUGGACAUUGCAUGAAAGGCCCGUCUCAGAGAUGAUUGCAUAACUUAAAAUAGGAGUCCAUUAGGAGCAGGG